This 274-nucleotide ribosomal RNA is filed under the name uncultured bacterium. RNAcentral's name for it is "partial 16S ribosomal RNA". It matches the Rfam family "Bacterial small subunit ribosomal RNA", at positions 523 to 796 of the family's 1533-position model. The record is from RNAcentral.
AUACGGAGGGUGCAAGCGUUAUUCGGAAUCACUGGGCGUAAGGGACGCGUAGGCGGGGUGGAAAGUCAGGUGUGAAAGCGUACAGCUUAACUGUAGAACUGCACUUGAAACUCUCACCCUAGAGUAUGGGAGGGGCAGAUGGAAUUAGUGGUGUAGGGGUAAAAUCCGUAGAUAUCACUAGGAAUACCGAAAGCGAAGGCGAUCUGCUGGAACAUAACUGACGCUAAGGCGUGAAAGCGUCGGGAGCAAACAGGAUUAGAAACCCCAGUAGUCC